UACGUAGGGUGCGAGCGUUGUCCGGAAUUAUUGGGCGUAAAGAGCUCGUAGGCGGUUUGUUGCGUCUAUCGUGAAAACCUGCAGCUUAACUGUGGGCUUGCGGUGGAUACGGGCAGACUUGAGUUCGGUAGGGGAGACUGGAAUUCCUGGUGUAGCGGUGAAAUGCGCAGAUAUCAGGAGGAACACCGGUGGCGAAGGCGGGUCUCUGGGCCGAUACUGACACUGAUGAGCGAAAGCCAGGGGAGCAAACGGG
This 253-nucleotide ribosomal RNA is filed under the name uncultured bacterium. RNAcentral's name for it is "partial 16S ribosomal RNA". It matches the Rfam family "Bacterial small subunit ribosomal RNA", at positions 524 to 776 of the family's 1533-position model. The record is from RNAcentral.